GAUGAUGAACUAUAAUCCUCAAUAAAGAGGGAAGAUAAAACUCCUAUUUAUAAUUGGUUCAAUACCCUGUACAUAGGUAGUUAAAUUCAUUGCAAUGAAUCAAUGUAAUACUCCACAAAAUGAUUUAAUUACAAUUCUUUCUGUCGAAAAUAGUGUUUGAUCUACUGGCGCCCCGCCAAACAUAUGGAUCAAGCUAAAAAUAACUCUUUAUAUACUUGUAAUAUAUUUCAGUUCUGAUAGCGAGUCAGUUGUUACUUUUACUCGACAUACCUCGCGGGUUUUUUCCUAUUCAACCAAUGGCAUUGAGUUGAUACGUCCUCAAAAUCAUGGAAAUUCGCGACCGAUACUCUAGAGGCAGUUCUCGUAGCCGGGGCUCAUCCUCAGCAAGCGAGAUCGACCCCAGAGAAAAAAUAAAAGAUUGCUGCAGAAAAAUUAUAGCCUUCAUGUUCACCCAAAUCGGUAUGGGAGUGUUGGUGUUCGGAUACACUCUGGUAGGCGCAGCAAGCUUCAUGCAUAUCGAAAAAGACGGGAACAACUCUAAACUUGAAGAAAUAGUCAAGAUCAGAGCAGAUUAUGCCUUAAAGUUGUAUGAUGCAGCAGUGAUUUACAACAUCUUCGACCAGAAAAACUUCACUGCUGAAGCAGGAAAGGUGCUCAAGACAUAUCAGGACACAGUGGUGAAGAUUCUCAGACACGGUUAUGAUGACAGGAAAAUGGUGGAAGUAUGGACGUUUCCAGCAGCUUUAAUGUUUUCACUGAGCAUCAUAACUAUGAUUGGGUUUGGAAACCUUGUACCAAAAACCAAGUACGGGAAGCUGGCAACCAUAAUAUACGCCUUGAUAGGCAUUCCACUCUACGUGCUGUAUUUUUUGAAUGUGGGAAAUGCGCUUGCAGGCGGUUUCCGUUGGUUGUACAGGAAACUUUACGAGUGCUCCACAGAGAUCGAUGAAGAACAAGGAGAACUCCCGAAAAGGAUAAUCGUGCCUUCCACCGCUUGCCUUUGGGUGAUCGUGGCGUAUAUCCUGACAGGGGCCAUCAUGUUCUUCACCUGGGAGGGCUGGGACUUCUUGGACAGCAUUUAUUUCUGCGUCACCAGCUUGUGCAAACUCGGGAUGGGGGAUUUCGUCCCGGGAGCUAACUAUGCUUCGGCUGAUAAAGGAAAUCAGACAAAGCUCAUGAUUAGUUAUGUUUAUAUAUUUUUUGGAUUGGCGCUGGUCGCGAUGUGCUACAAUUUGAUGAGGGAAGAGAUAAGGGAGAAAGUUAGAGAGAUCAAGGAGGAUUGCGGGCAGUGCUUAGAAGAAACUAAGAUGAGGUUGGUGAGGUGUUGUCAUCGAAUACGAGGUACCAGAGAGGUGUACUAUUAACCAGCUCGUGUGUACCUUGUUAAGACAAUAAGCUUGUUAUUAUUUUUCAAUGGGGAUGGGGUAGGGGCAUCGUGACGUUUUUAAAGAGAAAUAGAUCAAAAAAGUAGUGUGGUACAAGAAACAAGGAAUAUUGCAUUAUGUUCAAGAUAUAAUCAGGUAUUGAGUGAUUACCUGGAAGAUGAAUGGUUUUCAACGUAUCCCUUUCCUUAUGAGACUGACUAAAGUUGCUGGUUUUGGAGAAAGACUUAAUGAUAUAGUGUAUGGAUCACCAACAAGAGUUGCGGAGAAACCAAGUAUUGUGGUAUUUUUUGGGGGAGAUGUUCAGGAUUUCACAGAAAACAUGCUGAGUAACGGAAAAAAUAAGGAGUAUGUGAAAUGGAACUUGGAAAAUACUGCAAAGCUGUUGCAGUCAACUUUUGCUGAAAGCCACAUUGUUGUUGUGAAACCUGCUAGG
RNAcentral lists this unclassified non-coding RNA (1818 nucleotides) under Leptinotarsa decemlineata (Colorado potato beetle). Its description in RNAcentral is "uPF0565 protein C2orf69 homolog, transcript variant X4". Lineage: Eukaryota; Metazoa; Arthropoda; Insecta; Coleoptera; Chrysomelidae. The record is from RNAcentral.